This 606-nucleotide ribosomal RNA is filed under the name Triticum aestivum (bread wheat). Its description in RNAcentral is "partial small subunit ribosomal RNA". The record is from RNAcentral. Lineage: Eukaryota; Viridiplantae; Streptophyta; Magnoliopsida; Poales; Poaceae.
AUGGGCCAUGACAAUGUGGCAGGACAGUCAUCAACCCAUGGUGCCCGAGUGGUGUCUUUGCAGUUAGAGAGCCAUACUCUUGAUGACACGGGAACCGCGACAAAUGUUUCUGGUCCAAUCAGGACUGAGCUAGGAGUUGGGGCUGUUGACGGAGCUGUGCAAGAAGAAGGAGAGGAUGAGGCUGGUUCUCAACCUAUGGAAUCCUAUUUUGGCAUGAGGUUUGACAGCCUUCAAAUUGCUAAGGAUCACUACAAUAGCUACGCCCUACGGAUGGGUUUCUCUGUCAAGAUGAACACCUCUAGGCGGACACCUCACACCAAUGUAUUGGUAAAACAACAGUUUUGCCGCAACAAGUUCAAGAAGCUCAAAGCUGAUGAUGGAGGAGCUGAGGCUCCUCCUGUCCUGGACCCUAUUCCAGAUCCAAAACCUGUUGACAGUGAUGAGGAAAUGGAAGAUGAACCUCCAAUAUUUGCUGAAGAGGAGGAUGGUCCUAGUAAGAAGAAGAAGAAACGAAAACGCGAGACAAUAAAGCAGACUCAAUGCAAAGCAAAAAAUGUUGGUGAAGCUGAUAGAUGGGCGAUGGGAGGUGACGCACUUUGUUCGUGA